Long non-coding RNA from Salvelinus namaycush (lake trout), 1843 nucleotides. RefSeq lists it as uncharacterized. The transcript has 3 exons. The record is from RefSeq and is a predicted model, not a curated record. NCBI's taxonomy places the organism in Eukaryota, Metazoa, Chordata, Actinopteri, Salmoniformes, Salmonidae.
AACAAGGAAAUGGUUCCAUCGUUUUCCACCAUACAUUUUUUACCCAUAUGGGAUAUACCUGGCGUGACGUUUUGAUAACCAUGUAACUCUCUCUAGGACAAGGUGACUUAUCCAAACAGUCGCCUGUAUCUACCCCCCAAAAAAUUAAAUGCUAAUUAGCUGAUUAUGUGGCUAUCAUAAAGAACUACAAAUGCCAUGAUGAUUUGGACGAGACAGCCGAAUUAAGGCAAAGUUGGGCAAUCCUCCUCUCAAAAUACUGCAUCAUGAAGGCUUCCUGGGUGGACCUCUGAGCAUGCCCCAACCCCAGGCUCAGGACGAGCAGUGUCAACAUCCAGCAGGUGGUGCCACAUUAUCUGGAGAAGACUGAAGUUUUCAUUUCCUCCUGAGGACCUGCAUGCCAGCUGUAUCCAGUCCAGUACGUUUGUUUUUGGUACAUUGAUAGAGUUUGUGUACUUUCAGCAAUCGACACUUCCUGUAACCUUUAGUAAUAUAGUAACAACUAGACAUGGUCUCUACAUGAACCUGGAUGUAAGGCAUGAGCACUUUAUGUCUGGGGCCGGAAAUCAGACAGGUACACUAAAAAGUAUAAUCCAUUAGUUAGCUAACUUUGAUAAGUAACCAGAAAUAACUAUUGGUUUUAUGGUUCACAAAAAAACAACAUAGAUAUUAAAUACAUUAGACCAUACACAUUUCAAUCUUAUCUUUCUACAAAAUGUAAAUGUUAUAUCAGAAUGUUUAGGCAAGUUAGCUGGCUAACUCCUUGAUCCUGCUUUAUAGUGUACCCCUCAGGUUUCAUCUGUCUGAAUGUGUUUGUCCUUUCCCUCUGUUGUCAAUGAGAUAUGGCAUCAUCUGUCUGUGUGUGAACAACCCUCAAAAGCUCAAUUGCAUAGAACUGGUUUCAUCAGGUAAUAUUCUCCCUACCAUCUUUCCACUUAUCUGACUAUCGUUUCAGUGUCAGGAAGUUACCUUAUUUCAAAUGUCAAAGCAUAUUUCCACUAGACAGCAGACACUCUUAUCCAGAGCGACUUACAGGAGCAAUUAGGGCACAUCAACAGAUUUUUGAACUAAUCAGCUCGGGGAUUCAAACCAGUAAUCUUUCAGUUACUGGACCAACACUCUUAACUGCCAGGCUAUGUGACAGAAGUUUUCUUUCAGUUGACUUCAGCAUUGUAGCCUUGAAAACAUCUCCUGUUGAUCUGUAACCAAAGAUGGUUUAGUUACAGGGGUGUCAAAAUACUGCCCGGAUCCAGCCCUCGAGGGGUCCAAUCCGGCCCGUGGGGGAGACGAACUCAAUAUACUUUAAAAUGACUGAAACAAAAUCUAAACUGUGUACAAAUGAUAAAGGACCUACAUUCAUACAGUUUCUUGACUGUGUCCAGCUCACUAAUAAUCACUGAAAUGAAAUCUAGACAGUCAGGGAGUAUCGGAAAUUCCCAAAACAAUGUAUAAAGGACUAUAUUUUGCUAAUUUUGACGGCUAGGAAAUAACACAUUGGCUCGAAUCUAGGUUCUGCCUUUUGAUUUAGAGAAAUUCGAACAACUAAAUAAAAACAUUUCUUCUUUUAUUGACUUCUCAAACCCCAAACUGGUCUGCCGAGUCUGCUUCGCACUUGAAGUCUCACGAUGUUGGGUGUUUGGAAACUCUGUGCUGUAACAGUUCAUUGCCAAUUGAAGGAACAUGACCACUCAAAUGGAUAUCCAGAUGUUAUACGUAAGUGUCCACUUAGCAAAAUAAGAAUUACUAAUGCCAUAAUCACAAAUUGAUAUUCAAUGUAUCUGAUAUGAUAAAAUGCUAGCCCACCCAACAUACAGUGCCUUCAGAAAGUAUUCACACCCCUUGACCU